RNAcentral lists this ribosomal RNA (303 nucleotides) under uncultured bacterium. Its description in RNAcentral is "partial 16S ribosomal RNA". It matches the Rfam family "Bacterial small subunit ribosomal RNA", at positions 507 to 808 of the family's 1533-position model. The record is from RNAcentral.
AGCAGUAGCCGCGGUAAUACGUAGGUCCCGAUCGUUGUCCGGAUUUAUUGGGCGUAAAGCGAGCGCAGGCGGUUAGAUAAGUCUGAAGUUAAAGGCUGUGGCUUAACCAUAGUACGCUUUGGAAACUGUUUAACUUGAGUGCAAGAGGGGAGAGUGGAAUUCCAUGUGUAGCGGUGAAAUGCGUAGAUAUAUGGAGGAACACCGGUGGCGAAAGCGGCUCUCUGGCUUGUAACUGACGCUGAGGCUCGAAAGCGUGGGGAGCAAACAGGAUUAGAUACCCCAGUAGUCCCUGUCUCUUAUACA